RNAcentral lists this ribosomal RNA (300 nucleotides) under Thraustochytriidae sp. RNAcentral's name for it is "SSU rRNA". It matches the Rfam family "Eukaryotic small subunit ribosomal RNA", at positions 1302 to 1610 of the family's 1831-position model. The record is from RNAcentral. Lineage: Eukaryota; Bigyra; Thraustochytrida; Thraustochytriidae.
UGGAGUGGUUUGGCUGCUUAAUUGCGAUAACGAACGAGACCUCAACCUGUGGGUAGGGUGGUGGUGCGCGAGCACUGUCGGCCUUCACGUGGGACAGACUGGGGUUACCAGUAGGAAGUUUGAGGCAAUAACAGGUCUGUGAUGCCCUUAGAUGUUCUGGGCCGCACGCGCGCUACACUGAUCGGUUCAGCAAGUUUUCAUUCUUUGGAGUGGAGUCCUUGACCGGAAGGUCUGGGUAAUCUGAAAAGGCGAUCGUGAUGGGGCUAGAUUUUUGCAAUUCUUAAUCUCCAACGAGGAACC